Molecule: ribosomal RNA, 253 nt
Filed under: uncultured bacterium
Lineage: Bacteria
Description: partial 16S ribosomal RNA
Rfam family: Bacterial small subunit ribosomal RNA
Source: RNAcentral
UACGUAGGGUGCGAGCGUUAAUCGGAAUUACUGGGCGUAAAGCGUGCGCAGGCGGUUUUGUGAGGCAGCUGUGAAAUCCCCGGGCUUAACCUGGGAAUGGCAUUUGGGACUGCAAGGCUUGAGUGCGGCAGAGGAGACUGGAAUUCCUGGUGUAGCAGUGAAAUGCGUAGAUAUCAGGAGGAAUACCGAUGGCGAAGGCAGGUCUCUGGGCUGACACUGAGGCUCAUGCAAGAAAGCGUGGGGAGCAAACAGG